Corvus hawaiiensis (hawaiian crow) is the source of this 613-nucleotide long non-coding RNA. RefSeq lists it as uncharacterized. NCBI's taxonomy places the organism in Eukaryota, Metazoa, Chordata, Aves, Passeriformes, Corvidae. The record is from RefSeq and is a predicted model, not a curated record. The transcript has 3 exons.
GUGGGAGAGCAGCACCAGGGGAACAGUGACGCUAUUGGGAGAAUAAAAGAGUUGCCACAGCACGUCUGGGAAGAAAUAGCUGAGUCACUGAGGAGAGAUGUGUUCUUGGGAAGUUUACAGCUGUAGAGAAGAAAAAGUUAUUGACUUAGAGCAGGCCAUUGCAUGAGGUGAGAGGGAUGCUUUUUAACUCAACAGAAGCAAGCACAUCUGGGAAACCAAAUGGAAGAACAGAAACUCAAGCCCAGCCUCAGGAAACUAAACCCAUUGUCGUAGGUGAGGCCUCCCUGAAGACCGGAGUACCCAUACCAGGACCUGCCAGCGUCUCACUGCUGCUCAGCCAAGGGCAGUGCUGGAGACACAGAGUAAUCCUAUGGCAGAAGAAAAGCUACGAUGCUUCCCAGCCUCCUGCUCUGCACGUCACCAUCUCUGGUGCCAGGACUUCCCCAUGCACAGCGAGUGUCCUCCCCUGUGCCGUGAUCAGACUGUGUCGAACGUGCUGCUAACAAACACAUGCAGGGGCUCACUUCCACCUUGGCGCUGCCUGCUGAUGUGCGUGUGAUAUCAGUGAGUAAAAUAAGCCUCGAUCUUUACAAAAGCAGUGCUCUAAGUUUAU